RNAcentral lists this ribosomal RNA (468 nucleotides) under uncultured bacterium. RNAcentral describes it as "partial 16S ribosomal RNA". It matches the Rfam family "Bacterial small subunit ribosomal RNA", at positions 28 to 507 of the family's 1533-position model. The record is from RNAcentral.
GACGAACGCUGGCGGCGUGCUUAACACAUGCAAGUCGAACGGAAAGGCCCUGCUUUUGUGGGGUGCUCGAGUGGCGAACGGGUGAGUAACACGUGAGUAACCUGCCCUUGACUUUGGGAUAACUUCAGGAAACUGGGGCUAAUACCGGAUAGGAGCUCCUGCUGCAUGGUGGGGGUUGGAAAGUUUCGGCGGUUGGGGAUGGACUCGCGGCUUAUCAGCUUGUUGGUGGGGUAGUGGCUUACCAAGGCUUUGACGGGUAGCCGGCCUGAGAGGGUGACCGGCCACAUUGGGACUGAGAUACGGCCCAGACUCCUACGGGAGGCAGCAGUGGGGAAUAUUGCACAAUGGGGGGAAGCCUGAUGCAGCAACGCCGCGUGCGGGAUGACGGCCUUCGGGUUGUAAACCGCUUUCGCCUGUGACGAAGCGUGAGCGACGGUAAUGGGUAAAGAAGCACCGGCUAACUACGUG